AGGCACUAUUCUAAUUCCAGAGACCCAGCAAUGGCCCGAAUGAAGAGAAGGUAGAGAGCUGAAAAAUAUCUUCAAAUUGGAAUUAACCUGGGUUCAUUCCAAAAGCACUGCUACACAGGAUAACAGAGCCAUGGACUCACACAACUGAAAAACAGAGCAUGAUAGAUGUAUAUUUGUAGCUCCCAAGACUGUGGACAGAAAACCAAUGGACUCAACUGAUGAUCAGAUACCUAAUUACCAUCUACUGAAAUAGUUUUGUCGAACAAGCAAAGUAUCCUGCAAAUAUGACUCUUGAUCCUAGAAAUCACUGAUUUAGAUCAAAUGUAUUGAAGGAAGCCUUCAGAGACAAACACGAGCUCUACUCUUAACUCCCUGACAACCUCUUUGUCUUACUCUAGCCUAAAUGCUUGGGCCAUUUAUGUGCUCAUAACAAUGUACUUCUGCCAUGAGAAAUCAGUGUGUAAUUUUGAUGAUAUUACCAUGUUACAGCCAGGGAAAUGAUGAAUCCCUGAAUUGUACACCAGAGUCACACUUGCCACUCAUUUCUUGAGGGAGAUUAACUAUGUGUAGGAACAAAUGCAAAAGAGAGAAAGAGAUAUCAAUUUGACCUAGCUCCAAAAUAAUAACAUGGUAAACUCUAUAGACAUUGGUAGACUGGGUUGGAAUAUAAGACCCAGAGGUCUGAGACUUAAAGACCUCUUUCGACUGCCUUCGGCCUGGGAAGGAGAAACUAAGAAAAAAAAAGAUGAGAAUUUUUAAGUGCAAAAGGUCCAGGGCCUAUUCCAAUGUGUCAAUAAACAGUAAUGAUAAUAUUAAAAAACAAAAAACAAAAUGAACAAGCGCCUACUCUGUUCCAAUACUGUAUUAAGAGUUAAUAUGAAUCAUCUUC
Molecule: long non-coding RNA, 889 nt
Organism: Equus caballus (horse)
Lineage: Eukaryota; Metazoa; Chordata; Mammalia; Perissodactyla; Equidae
Source: RefSeq, a predicted model, not a curated record